Molecule: long non-coding RNA, 6609 nt
Organism: Felis catus (domestic cat)
Lineage: Eukaryota; Metazoa; Chordata; Mammalia; Carnivora; Felidae
Exons: 5
Source: RefSeq, a predicted model, not a curated record
GACUCGUGAUACUGGCUCAGGUCAUGAUCUUAUGGGUUCGUGGGUUCAAGCCCCGUGUCAGGCUCUGCACUGGCCGGCGCGGUGCCACCAACUCGAGUUUGCCCCUCCCCAAGUCGUGCAUGUGCGCGCUCUCGCUCGAAAUAAAGAAAUCAGCUGAAAAAUAAAUCAAGUCCAGGAAGAGAAGGUAAGAUAGGGCUGCCGCUGGACCCACCAACCCAACGGGCCUGCCAGGGGUCAGGAAUCUGGGACAGGCCCCCCAGUGAGUCAAUACCAAUUAUACUUGGAAGCCUUUUACGUUUCGGUCCCUCCCUGGACCUUCCCGCCUAGCCCCGGACACCCAGCUGCCCCCUGGGCCUCACUCGGGGGUGCUACAACGGUCACUGGGGCCAGUCACCACCAUUCUCGCUUUCCCGCCCGGCACAAGGAAAGAAACCACUGCCCCACCCACUUGUGUGGCCAUGUGACUUGCUUUGGCCAAUGAAAUGUGAGCAGCUGGCUAUGACCCGUGUCACUUCCGGGCGGAAGCUUUAGAAGCCGGUGCGCCGCGCUGAUUUCUUUUCCUUCUGCUACAGCAACCUGCCGGGUGCCGUGCGGUGGCCGAGUGGGAAGGUCUCUCACCAGACUGCCAUCCAGGUGGCAGCUAGGGCUGUGGUCUCAUCUGAAGGCUCCAUCAGACGCAAGCUGGGGAGGCAGAGAGCGGACGGACAGAGGAUCCGAAGGAGACUCCGCACUGCCAGCAGCGAGCCCGGUGUGGGGCUUGAACUCAACGAACCUCGAGAUCGUGACCUGAGCAGAAGUCUGACGCUCGACCACCGAAACCACCCAGAACUGGUGUCCUUAUAAGAACAGGAAGAGAGACCAGAGAUCUCUUGCUCACUCUUCACACACACAGAGGCAUGGCCAGGUGAGGAGGCGGCGAGAAGGCAGCCGUCUGCCAGCCGGGAAGAAAGCCCUCAGCGGGAAGGGAAUCUGCCAGCGCCUUGACCUUGGACUUCCAGCCUCCAGAACUGUUGGACUGGCUCCAGAGGCAGCCCCUGAGAGCAAGUGGCCCCAGGAAGCACCAGGAGGGACAAGGGGAAGUGAGAGAAGGAAGGGAAGAAGACAAUUUCGGGUAGUGGUAAGUGCCGUGAGUAACAACCAUAAAAAUUAGAGGAAGCAGCCGAUGAGGGGCCGGAGGGUGGCACGCCUGUCUGAGAUAGGGACGGCCUCUCAAAGGAGGGGACGCGUGAGCAGGGACAUCAUGAGGCGAGGGAGGGACCCACCCUGGGGAAAGACGGUUCCAGGCAGGGAAGCAGCAGGUGCAAAGGCCCGGAGGUGGGUGCAGGCUUGGAGAGUGGGAGAAUCUGAUGUAGCUGAAUGGAAGGGGGGGGGGAGUGAGGGGGAUGUGACUAGAGAUCAAGAACGGAAGGAACGGGGAAGAGUUUGUAAGAAAGGGAAGGAGAUGGUAACCGAAUCCGGGCCCAAUUCUUGCGUGAGGAAGGGCAAGAUGUGCCUGAUGCACCCGCGCUGACUUAGUCAGGCCUUGUGUCAGUUACCUGUAGCCCAUUGUGCUGUGUGACAGACAACCCCCCAGUCCAGCGGCUUAGACAAUCGGCCUUGAUUAUGGCUCACAGUCUACGCAUCAACCGGACAUUUCUUCUGGCUGGGCGCAUUCAGGAGUCUUUGGUCAGCUGGGGGGCCGGAGGACACUCUUUAUUCACCCAGGUUGGGCCCUGUCACAUGUUUGGGGUUCGGCUGGCCGUAGGUUGGUCUAGGAUGGCCUCGGCUGGGACGACAGGGCUCGCCUCGAUGUGCCUCGGCCGGCUGGCCCGGGCUCCAGUCAGGUGACAGAGGCAGGGUAGGUGGUGAGGGCAUCGACCUGAGUCCAUGUGGCAGUCAAUCUACGCCAGCUGCAUUACGUCUCUGGGACUUUUGAUUAUCACCCCCGUCCCUCUCUGGUUCUCCCAAGAUCCUACAGUCUUUGACUCCAGCUCCAGCCCCUCUAGAAUUCUUCCCGCCCAAGUUUGUCCUCUUAAGGUCCCAAAGGAGCUGUAGCCUGUGUUGUUCACAACCUCAAAUUUCUGGCGAGGCUCGCUUUCCUCCUCUGCUUUGGGGCAUGACUGGAGCUGAAAUUCAUUAUUGAAAUAACUGACUCUCUUCAUAGCGAACUGUGAGUUGGUGUCAGCCACAGCAGGGCAGAGGUUGGUCCAUAGGGUGCCCCUGAGCAAAGGAGAAAGGGGCACUCACAGCAUGGCUUGAGCACACGCUGUGCCCCCUUGUGCAGUGUCCAGCCUGCCCAACCAUACCAGCCUGCCCUGAUUAUGGGAGUGGAGAGGAAGAGGGAAGAGAGAAAGAAGGGGAAAGGGAUUCCACUGGGAUCCAGGGCACCAUUUAGCCUUAGCACUCUGGCCAAAGGAAGAACCUUCCUCAAAUGGAUGAGGGACCCAGUGGGGAGCCAGCCCAGCAAGCCAGGAUGGGCACCCAGACAGGCAGCCUACUCUUCUAGUGGACCAAGGCUGGAUCAGGCCCUGUGGGGGAGGAGGAAGAGAAGAAGGGAAAGGAAGAGGGUAGAAAGGUCCCAGUUGAACAUACUCCCCACCCCCUUGCUGUAUCCCCAGGAAAUAAAGUGCAGCUGGGUUCUUGGUUGCCAUAGUGACUGCCACACAAAGAAUUUGGGGGGAAAAACACCCCGGGGGCAUGAAGAAGCAAUUUGCUCUCAGCUCUGGGAGGCAGGGGGUGGAGGGAGGACACAGGGAUGGGGAUCGGAAUCUCCUGGGGAGAAAAAGUUAAGAGAGGCCUGCCAGGGUAGGUGGUGUCGGGGAGCCUGGAACCUUCCAUGCCCCCCCCCACUUCUGCCAGUGAUCCAAAAGAAGAAUGGGUGGAGGGCCCCCCCAGCUCUGGUGUGGGUGCUUCCAAAUCCCAGGCCCCCCUUCCGGGGACCAACUGGGCAGCUGUGAGCUCCCCAGUGUCCACAGGGGCAGGACCUCCAUGUGGAUUUUUUUUUUUUUUUUUUUUUUUUGAAUUUCUAAUUCCACCUCAGGACAAGGCACUAUCUGGGGCAGUGCACAGGCCUGACACCCCUCAAAUCCUUCCUCAAACUCAGGAAAGGGCCCGGCCUCACUGCCCAGCCCCUCCCCCCUCCUCCUUGGCUACACACGGAGAGGUCUACAUAUCCCGGGCUGUGGGGAGGAGGGUGGAUUGGAUUUAACCCCCCCCAGAGGGAACCUGCAGCCUGGUGUUCCUCCCUCCAGCUUCUCUAAACCUCCAAGAAAGCAGAGAAGGCACGGUGUGGUGGCAGCUGCAUUUUUUUUUUAAUCUGUUAAUAAAACCGCAAGUGAAUCAAAUCCGCUCGAAGGGGAAGGGUGGGGGGGGGGGUGCAGUGCAGCGAGGCAGGGGCCAUGGUGUUUGCAGAAGUUGGGAAUUUAAUAAGAAGGGAAAAUAAAAAUAGCCACUGUGCCGGAGACACAGAGAGAGGGUUGGGAGACGUAGGCGGGUGUGGGACUCCAGGCUGGGUGGAAAGCAUGAAGAAGAAGAGACAGCCAGAGGGUCCCAGAGUCUGGAGAGGCAAGGGGGGUGGGCACAGCUAGGGGCAACAGGAAAGAGGGGACUUGGAGUACCCACCAAAACAGCCCGAUUCCCUGGCAGGUUUUCCGCAGGGGUGAGCGGACCAGAGAGGUUAGGGAUUGGCAGUCUGAAAGCCUAGGCGAGGAGGGGCAGCUCCUGGUUCCUUGGUCUUUGAGCUGGUCAGGAUACGCAUCACACUGUUAGGGCUGCCAUGAACAGCUGUGCACGUGGCUCACUGCACAAGAAUGCUAGAAAGAAGCCAGAGCAAGGGCUGAUAUCAUCUCUUCCCCUCACCGCGCUCUUCCUCUGCCCCGAAGAAAGGGUGCCUUUUAAGGAUCCACAAUAAAGGUGCCAACACCCUAAAUGUCCAUCACCAGAGGAGUGGAUGAACAAAUGUGGUCCAUCCAUACACUGGGAUAUGAUUCAGCCGUAAAAAGGAGGACCGAUCUUGACACACGCUACAAUGUGGAGGAAACUUGAAAGCGUUAUACCCAGUGAAAGGAGCCAGACACGACAGAGCACACGUGACCCGAUUCCAUUUACGUGAAAUGUCCAGAAUAAGUAAAUCCACAGAGACAGAAAGCAGACGGGUGGUGGCCAGGGGCUGGGAGGAAAGGGGAAGCUGGGGAGCGACUUAAUGGGUGCCGGUUUCCUUUUGGGGUGACGGGGAUGUUCUGGAACCAGGUAGAAGUGGUGGCCGCACAACGUGGUGAAGGUGCUAAAUGUCCCUGAAGUGUAUUCUUCAAAAUGGUUGAUUUUGUGUUAGGUGAAUUUCACCUCAGGAAAGAAAGAAGGAAUGAAGGAGGGGCAGAGAGGGGGAAGGAAGGAAGGAAGGAAGGAAGGAAGGAAGGAAGGAAGGAGAAGAUCCACAUAAAGACGACAGCAGGGUCCCUGCACAAGACUUAUCACACCCCGUCUACCCCCAGAAAGCCCCGGAGUGCCCACAGCAGUCCAAUUCCAGAGCAGCUUUGGAAUGCAUUCAUUCAUUCGUUCACCAAGAAUUCACCGAGUGUUUAUUUCAUGCCAGGUGCUGUGCUGGGCGAUGAAGGGGGUACACCCCUGCCCCAGGGCUGACACUCCAGUGAGGUGGUCAGACCGACCCAGCAAACGCAGCCUCCGGUACAUUAGGUGGGGGUGCGUGCCCGCUCUAGAAACAACAAAACCGCGUGGGUGGGGCAGGCGGGGGCACUGUGCGCGCUUUUAACCGGGUGUCCUCACUGAGGAGGUGACAUCUGAACAAAGCUCCGAAGCAGGCAAAGAGGAGUCACGUGGUUUGUGGAGGAAGAGCAUUCCAGGCAGAGGGAACAGCCAGUGCAAAGCAGGGAGGCUUGUUAUCUGCAAUGAGUGAGGCUAAACGUGGGUUGUUGCGCAGGAGUUGAGGUUCUGCUAGAGCCUUCCCCCCGCCCCCACCCCAGUUCUGACUUGGAUGAGGCACCAGCUGGACGAAGGCAUAGGCAUGAUCCCCAUCACCAACCCCCCAAGUCAGAAGUCUUGGAUUUCUAUCAAGAGUUGAUGAUCUCCGAUGUUUACCAGAGGCAAGGCAAGGGUCACAGUAGUACGUCCUAGAAAGUACUUAUUACGUGCUCCACACUAUCACAUUCACUGAUGUAAUCCCCAGCGGCAUCGAAAAUGGUAUAAUCUCUACUUUCCGGGUGGGGAAACUGAGGCACGGACCGAUGAAGUGGCCCGGCCAAGUGAGCAAGAGGCAGCUGUGAGUUUGAACCCAGGAUGGCUUUCUGCGGAUCCAGACGAACAAGGAUCUGGGAGUUUCUCUCGAGGCCGCACCUUGAAGGGUUCGGAGGCCUCCAGGCCUGUUUUUGAGUUGCCGCUGGGCCCGGGGCUCGCAGACGGUGGAGGGUCCCAGGUGAGGGGUGGCUGUCAGCAUCGGCGGGUGAUUGAUGGUUUCAUCGCUCGCCCCGUGACCCUGGCCCUUCUAGCCCACGCUGCGCGCUGAGGCAGGCGGUCCCUGGCGAGAAGCGGAGAUGGGGUAAUUUGGUUACCGUAAAGAGAACGAAAAUUCCAGAGGGAGACAGAGAGAGCGAUGCGCCGACCGGGGGCGAAAUGGGAGCCGGUUAGUCUGGGCUCGGAUGGGAGGGAGGAGGCAGAUCCCCAGUCCUUUUGGGGGUCGGGGCCCUGACAGCUCUCCGCCCCUCUCCAGCCUCAUCUGACUUCCUGUCUUGAGAAUGGAGAGGGCAAAUGCCAUGCGUGAGAGGCCACAGGGCACAGCCAAGGCCUAAGAGGCGAGGGCAGCAUGUGGCCUCUACCUGAACCAUCUGAGGGGGACACAGGAGCGAGGCGGGGGCUGGUGGAGCAGGGGGCUGGAGAGGGCUGGGGGCUCCAGGUACCGCGGUCAGAAGCCUCGUGUCAUCCUUGACUUGACUCCUUUCUCGCUCUCUCUCCACUCACAUCCAAACCUGGGACUUCUGCCCACCUCCGCGGCCCCGCCGGGUCCAGCCCAGCGUCGCCCUCCUGCCCCUGCUGUCGCGUCCGGCCUGGUCCCAGGCUCCUGGUCUCGCCUUGCGGUCUCUUCCCCCCUCGGCCCCCAGGGGGCGCAGGACCUGCUCUCUGCUCAGCCUUUCUCCCCGCUGAAACCGUCAUAUGCUUGCGGCCGGAGUCCCAGCACCUCCUCCAGGCAGCCCUCCUGGAAACACCCUGUAUUUUGAUCUACCAGAGCAGUCACCAGCCCCUUUCUUCUGCCUUCCACGGGUCACAAAAGUCCAGGGGACCCACAACAGAUUCUCCAGAACAUCCUGCCAAUGUUCUUCCUUCCCUGGCUUGAAGUGAGGGGGGGCGCCCGGCUCUGACCCUUUUCUCCUGAUGGGGAGAGCAUGAAGCUCACAGCACAGCCUCCUCCGGAGAAAUCCUCAUAAAACCCUCUCCAAACCUGCCUUCUUCCCCAAGCCUUUCAGACUCCGCUCACGCUGAGUCUUGAAACCCAUCGGGAGCCUUCGACUUUGGAAACGUUCACUGUGGUCUGGUACCUCUCACUGGACACUAUAUUUAUUUAUUUGGGGCCUGAAUGAAAAAGUCCAUUGUAGCAUCCUGUUACUCUAGUAAUAUCCAGUU